Dreissena polymorpha is the source of this 1670-nucleotide long non-coding RNA. RefSeq lists it as uncharacterized. Lineage: Eukaryota; Metazoa; Mollusca; Bivalvia; Myida; Dreissenidae. The record is from RefSeq and is a predicted model, not a curated record. The transcript has 6 exons.
GCGUCAUUGUUCUUGCCGUCUGACAUGUACGGGCUUUCUAUUGUAAGAAAAUGUCCAGUUGUCGUGACAACUACCAUGGGCUUCACCAAUGGCCUUCCCUUAUGCAAACUAAAUGAACGGCGCUGAAACUGAAAGUUGUUUGAUUUAUUGAUGCAGAUUUAUGUACAAUCCAAAACAAAAAUUAACCUCUCUUCCUGGUUGCCAAACAGCUUCUUUGCUAAAGGCUUUGUAUGGUCAUUUAUCAGUAACCGAGGCAAACAAGCGAUAAAAGUGGAAGGAGAUUGUGUCAGCCAUAAACGCGUGUGGGGUGGCGUUGAGGACAGUUGACACGUGUAAGAAAAAGCUACGUGACAUAAAGAAGAAUGCACGAGACUACUACAGCAGUUUUAAAGUGCCAAAGACAGGAGGCGGAAAAGAAAAGAAAAAACUUUGGUAUUAUGAUGUUGUGUUAGACCACAUCAUUGGCAGAGAUUCGCCCUUUCUACAUGGGGUUGCAGAUGGUGUAAGAGCAGGGAGAAAUGGUCUGUUUGGGAGCGAAGAGCACAAGAGAAAAAACGAAACAAUUGGGGACUGCAUUGACACCCUGAAUGAAAAGUGCAAGAGGCAAAAAGUGAGGAGAAUCACAAUUAAGUUAAUUAUGUUCACCAAAGCCAAGUUCUCCAUGAUGUUGAUGCUGAGAAUGGCCAGCCUGCACAGCUGCAGAAGACAGACGUCUGUAAAACUGUUGAUGCUGCUAGUCGUGGAGGCACAGGCAGUAUCUGCACAUCACGCAUUUCUUGUACGAACACAGCAGACAGUUCACUGAAGAGCACAAGAAUAUCAACAGAACUAGGAGCCUCUGAAUGUCAAAAGCCUGUGUCCAAAUCAAAGCCAAUCAAGAUUAGCUGUGCUUCUCAGGGGACUACAACAGUAAAAAAGAAGGCAUCAGCAACGUCUGCACAACGGGAUGACUCGUAUGAAACUCUUCAGCCAGCUUGUGAAUACUCGCCAGAGUCAACCUCCCCUUACAGCGGCGCUUAUCUGCCGAAAAAAGAAAGAAAACUAUGACAGGCUAGUUGUUCUAGAAAUACAAAAAGCAAAGGCUGAAAUUGAUGUAUUGAAAAACAAAAACAAAAAGCACAGGGGCAGAAAGAACGGGUGCAAGCAAUGAGAGACCAAGUAGCUCUCCAAAGAGAACGCCUGGCUCACAAAAAAGAAAGGGCACUUAUUAAUUUACAAAUCGAAAGGGAGAAAGCCCUUAACCAGACAUACAUUGAAAAAGAAGUGACAGAGUUAAAUUUAUUGAAGGAGAAACUCAAGAUUGAGAAUUGUAGUGCUCGCAAAGCACAGCUAGAGGUGCAGAUGCUGGAGGAAAAGUGCACGCAGUCAGUGGUCAUGACACUAGACGAUUACAAUAACAAUGUCACAAACCAAUGAAAACAGGAUAUAUUGUAACAAUCGUAAUGGUUGCUUCUGAUCAUUGUUUGUGACAUGUUAUUUUUUCAUUUUCAUUUUUUUUAUGCUUAACCAUUUCUUCAUACGUUUUUGUACAUGUAUGUGUGGGUAGCGUUUCAAAAUAGAAUUAAUUGCCUUUAAAUUAUUGUGGGUAUUAUAUAAUAUUCAAUUAAUGUGUUAGAUUGUUUUGAUAACAUCCAAUCUGCCAUUAUAGCAUGAAUAAAGGUGAAAGAAUU